GUCAACGGUCUUCACACAGUGCUUGAUCUCCUCUACGAACAACUGGACACAGUUGCACCACCAAGGAAGGAGGAGGAUGGCUCUCGGUCCCUACCCCUGGGGGAAGUUCCAAUAUCUUACCCAGAUAGGUACCACAGCCUUGUCUCCAGGUACCAUGCCUACUGUAGCUGUCUACAGGCCUUACUCAGUGAGAGUUUCCCCAGCUCUGGUGAAGGUUCCAUCCCAAGCAAUCCUCAAUCUCAUCUGUAGAAUUUUGUCUGUUAAUUGUAAA
Long non-coding RNA from Pecten maximus, 271 nucleotides. RefSeq lists it as uncharacterized. Lineage: Eukaryota; Metazoa; Mollusca; Bivalvia; Pectinida; Pectinidae. The transcript has 3 exons. The record is from RefSeq and is a predicted model, not a curated record.